UAUACCCACCAAAUUUAUUUUUAGGGUUAAUUUUAUAUAGAUCCCUACAAAUAUAAUAAAUUAUAAAUAUAUUUCUACAAAGUUCAACUUUUAUAUAUUAUUGUAAAAGUACUAAUGUUUUCAAAUAUGUCUCUCUGAUUUGUUACCGUUAAAAUACUAUCUAUUUUAUAAGUGAAAUCACCUUUUUAUCAUCACAAAUAUCUCCAUCCAAAAGUCCCAACUAUUUAAGAGCGAUAAAAAACUCAAUUCACCUCGUUAAUGUCACACUCCGGGACCCAGCGGAAGCCCACUCAGCACGUGCACAGACCCCCCAUGUAUACCAAACAACCACGAUGCACACAAGGCGUCUACUAAAAACUAGAAAUGAACAAGAUAAAGUCCUAAUAAGGCUAUCAGAGCGAGUAUAUAAAAUCACUAAUAUUCUAGUACAAAGAGAUCCACAAAUAUACAAAGUGUAACAACUAAAUCCAAGAGACUAACAAUAUCUCUAAAAUCAAAUACAUAAUACAUUUUUCUACAAGAUACAAAAAAGAAAGAUGAUAACGGGUCCAUCUAAAUAACUCCGUAGGAGCUCUAGCUAGUCGCUAACCCUUUGCCACGAUCCCCAGCCUCUCCCGCCGCGGAAGGCUCUGAAAUAAAAACCAACAACAAAUGAGGAUGAGAACUAUUAAACAAUAGUUCCGAGUAAGUAAGCUGCAAAGAAUGACGAAAUACACUACUAGGUCAACUGAGACAUGCUAUAAAGAGGUAAAUAAAUAGCAUAUAUAAAAGGUAA
Molecule: long non-coding RNA, 775 nt
Filed under: Ananas comosus (pineapple)
Lineage: Eukaryota; Viridiplantae; Streptophyta; Magnoliopsida; Poales; Bromeliaceae
Description: long non-coding RNA (ACOM_LNC005827)
Source: RNAcentral